This 446-nucleotide ribosomal RNA is filed under the name uncultured bacterium. RNAcentral describes it as "partial 16S ribosomal RNA". It matches the Rfam family "Bacterial small subunit ribosomal RNA", at positions 338 to 795 of the family's 1533-position model. The record is from RNAcentral.
CCUACGGGUGGCAGCAGUCGAGAAUCAUUCACAAUGGGGGAAACCCUGAUGGUGCGACGCCGCGUGGGGGAAUGAAGGUCUUCGGAUUGUAAACCCCUGUCAUGUGGGAGCAAAUUAAAAAGAUAGUACCACAAGAGGAAGAGACGGCUAACUCUGUGCCAGCAGCCGCGGUAAUACAGAGGUCUCAAGCGUUGUUCGGAAUCACUGGGCGUAAAGCGUGCGUAGGCUGUUUCGUAAGUCGUGUGUGAAAGGCGCGGGCUCAACCCGCGGACGGCACAUGAUACUGCGAGACUAGAGUAAUGGAGGGGGAAGCGGAAUUCUCGGUGUAGCAGUGAAAUGCGUAGAUAUCGAGAGGAACACUAGUGGCGAAGGCGGGUUACUGGACAUUAACUGACGCUGAGGCACGAAGGCCAGGGGAGCGAAAGGGAUUAGAUACCCUGGUAGUC